GACGAAGGGGGCUAGCGUUGUUCGGAAUUACUGGGCGUAAAGCGCGUGUAGGCGGUUGUUCAAGUCAGGUGUGAAAGCCUUGAGCUCAACUCAAGAAAUGCACUUGAUACUGGAUGACUAGAGGACCGGAGAGGAUAGUGGAAUUCCCAGUGUAGUGGUGAAAUACGUAGAGAUUGGGAAGAACACCAGUGGCGAAGGCGACUUCCUGGCCUGUUCUUGACGCUGAGGCGCGAAAGCUAGGGGAGCAAACGGG
Molecule: ribosomal RNA, 253 nt
Filed under: uncultured bacterium
Lineage: Bacteria
Description: partial 16S ribosomal RNA
Rfam family: Bacterial small subunit ribosomal RNA
Source: RNAcentral